RNAcentral lists this non-coding RNA (23 nucleotides) under Arabidopsis thaliana (thale cress). The record is from RNAcentral. Lineage: Eukaryota; Viridiplantae; Streptophyta; Magnoliopsida; Brassicales; Brassicaceae.
UCAUCGGUAUCGCCGGCCCAAUC